This 459-nucleotide ribosomal RNA is filed under the name uncultured bacterium. RNAcentral describes it as "partial 16S ribosomal RNA". It matches the Rfam family "Bacterial small subunit ribosomal RNA", at positions 338 to 795 of the family's 1533-position model. The record is from RNAcentral.
CCUACGGGAGGCUGCAGUGAGGAAUAUUGGUCAAUGGACGAGAGUCUGAACCAGCCAAGCAGCGUGAAGGAUGACUGCCCUAUGGUUUGUAAACUUCUUUUAUAUGGGAAUAAAACAGGGUAUGCAUACCCUCCUGUAUGUACCAUUGAAUUAGGAUCCGCUAACUCCGUGCCAGAGGCCGCGGUCAUACGGAGGAUUCCAGCGUUUGUCGGUAUUUGUUGGUUUUAAGGGAACGUAGGUGGAUUGGUUAGUUAGUUGUGAAAGUUUGCGGGUCAACCGUAAAAUUGCAGUUGAGACUGGCAGUCUUGAGUACAGUAGAGGUGGGCGGAAUUCGUGGUGUAGCGGUGAAAUGCUUAGAUAUCACGAAGAACUCCGAUUGCGAAGGCAGCUCACUGGACUGCAACUGACGCUGAUGCUCGAAAGUGUGGGUAUCAAACAGGAUUAGAUACCCUAGUAGUC